RNAcentral lists this transfer RNA (72 nucleotides) under Cricetulus griseus (Chinese hamster). It matches the Rfam family "tRNA". Rfam says of the family: Transfer RNA (tRNA) molecules are approximately 80 nucleotides in length. Their secondary structure includes four short double-helical elements and three loops (D, anti-codon, and T loops). Lineage: Eukaryota; Metazoa; Chordata; Mammalia; Rodentia; Cricetidae. The record is from Rfam by way of RNAcentral.
GCGAGUGUAGCUCAGUUGGUAGAGUGUUUGCCUAGCAUGCACAAAUCCUUGGGUUCGAUUCCCAGCCCUGUA